This is a non-coding RNA of Bactrocera oleae (olive fruit fly), 1405 nucleotides long. Lineage: Eukaryota; Metazoa; Arthropoda; Insecta; Diptera; Tephritidae. The record is from RefSeq and is a predicted model, not a curated record.
AUUUUUAAACCCAGUUGUCAUAUUUUAUUAAAUCUUUUAAUAAAUUACAUAAAAUUCGCAUAGACCAAGUGCAUUAUUAGUUAUUUGUACACUCAACCUAAUCAGAUUGUCAUAUGCUAAUUAGCAAAAGGAAAAUGGCUUCAUACACAAAAACCACAAACUAAUAGACUUAAAGCGUAGAAUAAGCGUCAAGCAAAAGCAAUGAGACAGUAAGAAGGAACUGAAUGACCUAUCUAAAUUUACACCAUACUCGUAUUGGUGUCAUUAGUAACAGCGCCUGGGUGUUGUUUUUUGCGGCCAUUUGUGGUUUAAUGACUCUUUGGCCAUAAUAAACCUGCUGCGCUCAACAGUAAAUACUUACAACACACAACAUCGACAGCGCUUGCUACCGUUACCGCCGACACUGCAUACUGCGGCAACGCUAGCUACCAUUACUAUGAGCGAAUAUUAAUUGGAUAUUGGCAAGCACGUGAAGCUACAUGGAUUACACGAACGUCUUUAGCUUGAUAAUCCACAAAGCCGCUAAGGAACAGACGACCUAAAUACUCAAGUGUUUGCUAGUUGGGCAAAGAAACUUCUUAAUUAAAAUUCGAUAGGCAUGCGCAUUAAGCAAAUUAGUUAUAUUUUGUACUUAAGUGUACUUGAAUGGCGACUAAAAAAAAUUUGAAGAUAUUUAAGUAUUUGUUGUGUUGUCUUUUUUUAAUUUUUGCUUCAGCGUUUUUAUUUUCUUAGCUAAAGUACGCAAUUACUGCAAAAUAUUUCGUGCGGCCAUGCUUACUUGUGUUGCCGUUGCUACUUGCCCGCGGCUUGUUAUCUAAAUUGUUGUCAUUGACCACUCGAAUCGCUUCCAGCUCAUCUACACGACAAUUCCUCAUUGCUCCACACCUCAAACCGGUUAUAGUUAUGUAUAUGAAAAGAACUUUGAACAUCACCGCGCAAUGAAGCACAUCUCCGUCAACAAAUAUUAUGGUGGCUGUGAUGAUUAAGCUACAAUUAGUUGGAAACAAGUCGUUGUUGUAAGCGCACAGAUAUGCAGUGAGGGUCUACCAAAGCUGCUAGUAAUUGAGCGACGAGAGGGAAGCAAGUGAUUGCAGUCGAGUGACCGCAUUCAAUACACCGAGUGUGUCAUCUACUAUAGAAACACAGUGACUAUAUGUAUAUAUGUAUACUUAUAUGUACAUCUAUAUUGAAUGUUUACAUAAUUGUCAACAUUGUCUUCACCUCCAAUCGCCUUGUUUCACUAAUUCUAUGCAUUUUCAUUCCGUUCUCGUUCACUUGCUCAUACACAUUGGCCGAUCCGAUCACGUUAACAGCAAAGGCGUAAGAUAUUUAUUGUUUGAAAGUUGAAUAUUGAUGCUACUUUUGCUAUUAUUGUUGUCAUUUAUCUCCUUUUUGCGCUGUUGCC